UAUUGGGCAAUAUGGGACGAUGUGCUGGGCUGUGGGUGCUAUGGGGCGGUGUGGGGCUCUGCUGGUGGUAUGGGGCUGUGUGGGCGCUGUGGGUCCCUGUGGGUCUCUAUGGGUUUCCAUAUGUCCCUAUGUGUCCCUAUGGUCCCUAUGGUCCCUGUGGGUCCCUAUGGUCCCUGUGUGUCCCUAUGGUCCCUGUGUGUCCCUAUGUGUCCCUGUGGUCCCUGUGGUCCCUACGGCCGCCGUGCGUCCCUGCAGAACCGCUUCCUGAGCGGCGUUUACCCGGCGUCGCCGUCGUGGUGGCUGGCGCUGCUGGCGGCGACGGGCGGCGCGCUGAGCCUCCGCCUGGAUCCGUCCUUCGGCGUCAUCGGCCGCAUCCGCGCCGCCCUGCCGGAAUGGUGGGCGGGGGGACAAGGGGGGGGAAACGGCACCCACCGAGACCCCCACCCAAAUCCCGGCCCCAAAUCCCAGCCCCACAUCCCUGUCCUGCAUCCCAACCCCACAUCCCAACCCCACAUCCCAACCCCACAUCCUCUUCCCUCCCCUUUCCCCUUCCCUUCCCCCUCCUUUUCCCUUUCCCCUUUCCCUUUCCCUUUCCUUUUCCCUUUCUCUUCCCUUUCCCCUUCCCCUUCCCCUUCCCCUUCCCCUCCUCUCCCUUCCCUUCC
This 662-nucleotide long non-coding RNA is filed under the name Phasianus colchicus (ring-necked pheasant). RNAcentral's name for it is "lncRNA (ENSPCLG00000017279.1)". Lineage: Eukaryota; Metazoa; Chordata; Aves; Galliformes; Phasianidae. The record is from RNAcentral.